Molecule: ribosomal RNA, 498 nt
Filed under: uncultured bacterium
Lineage: Bacteria
Description: bacterial SSU rRNA
Rfam family: Bacterial small subunit ribosomal RNA
Source: RNAcentral
CUCAGGAUGAACGCUAGCGGCAGGCUUAACACAUGCAAGUCGAGGGGCAGCAUGACACGGAGAUUCGUCGAAGUGUUGAUUGGCGACCGGCGCAAGGGUGCGUAACGCGUGAGCAACUUGCCCGUUUCUGGGGAAUAACCGGUGGAAACGCCGACUAAUACCCCAUAGCAUAACGAAGAGGCAUCUUUUUGUUAUUAAAGAAUUUCGGAAACGGAUAGGCUCGCGUGACAUUAGCUAGAUGGCGGGGUAACGGCCCACCAUGGCGACGAUGUCUAGGGGUUCUGAGAGGAAGGUCCCCCACAUUGGAACUGAGACACGGUCCAGACUCCUACGGGAGGCAGCAGUGAGGAAUAUUGGUCAAUGGUCUGACGACUGAACCAGCCAUGCCGCGUGAAGGUCACGGCCCUAUGGGUCUUAAACUUCUUUUGUAAGGGAGCAAUAAGUCUCACGUGUGGGAUGAUGAGAGUACCUUACGAAUAAGCAUCGGCUAACUCCGUG